This 61-nucleotide microRNA precursor is filed under the name Aedes aegypti (yellow fever mosquito). RNAcentral's name for it is "Aae-Mir-184_pre stem-loop". Lineage: Eukaryota; Metazoa; Arthropoda; Insecta; Diptera; Culicidae. The record is from RNAcentral.
CCUUAUCAUUCUUGCGCCCCGUGUUAUAUUGUUGGCGACUGGACGGAGAACUGAUAAGGGC